RNAcentral lists this transfer RNA (73 nucleotides) under Candidatus Woesearchaeota archaeon. RNAcentral's name for it is "tRNA-Ser". It matches the Rfam family "tRNA". From Rfam's summary of the family: Transfer RNA (tRNA) molecules are approximately 80 nucleotides in length. Their secondary structure includes four short double-helical elements and three loops (D, anti-codon, and T loops). The record is from RNAcentral. Lineage: Archaea; Nanobdellati; Candidatus Woesearchaeota.
GCCACCGUGGCACAAUCCGGUACUGCGCCGGCCUUGAGGGCCCGUAAUCCCGGUUCAAAUCCGGGCGGUGGCG